RNAcentral lists this long non-coding RNA (252 nucleotides) under Capsicum annuum. Its description in RNAcentral is "long non-coding RNA (CANN_LNC019101)". The record is from RNAcentral. Lineage: Eukaryota; Viridiplantae; Streptophyta; Magnoliopsida; Solanales; Solanaceae.
AUUAAUAGCACAUGGAUCUUGUUUGAGUAACCGGAUACCUUCUGACAUUCAUUAGUGCAAUAAACAUGUAAGAUUUGGAAAACAAGUAAGUAUUGGAAUGUCUUGACAUCUUGUAGGGUGGAAACAAGUUCAUUGGUAACGUAAGACAUCAUACAAAACCAUUAUGGAUCACAUGUUACUGAAUAACUUUGGAAACUUUCUUAAUAGAACAAUUAUUAACUUUCAUACCAAAGAUAUGGUAUAGAGUAUGCU